RNAcentral lists this long non-coding RNA (1047 nucleotides) under Triticum aestivum (bread wheat). RNAcentral's name for it is "long non-coding RNA (TAES_LNC024308)". Lineage: Eukaryota; Viridiplantae; Streptophyta; Magnoliopsida; Poales; Poaceae. The record is from RNAcentral.
AGUCAGUCACUCGCAUUGUCACAUUCCACAAGGCAACAAAUCACGACCCACGAGAUCGAAGAAUACACGCCGACACAGAGCGCUUGCGCGCACACACAAUCAGCGAAACAUCUCAGGGAAGUGCGUCCUCGAGCUCGGUAGCAAUGUCGACUCGAUGCUUGUUGGCGCUUGGCUGCAUUGCCGUGGCGGUAAUGUCGCUCGCCGUGGCGCCGGCGGACGGCGCGAUCCUGCCUUGGUUCGGGAGCGGCGGCGGCAGCCGCGGCGCACGCGAUGACGCGGUGGCGUCGCCGCUCCAGGACGUGGCCCUGCUCGCCGACCCGUUCCGGAUCCUGGAGCACGUGCCAUUCGGUUUCGACCGCGACGACGUGGCCAUGGUGUCCAUGGCGCGCGUGGACUGGCGCGAGACCGCCGACUCCCACGAGAUCGUCGUCGACGUGCCAGGGAUGAGGAAGGAGGACCUGAAGGUGGAGAUCGAGGAGAACCGGGUGCUGCGGAUCAGCGGCGAGCGGCGGCGGGAGGUGGAAGAGCGGAAGGGCGACCACUGGCACCGGGAGGAGCGCUCCUACGGCAAGUUCUGGCGCCAGAUGCGCCUCCCCGACAACGCGGACCUCGAUUCCAUCGCCGCGAGCCUUGACGCCGGCGUCCUCACCGUGCGCUUCCGGAAGCUGGCGCCCGAACAGAUCAAGGGCCCGCGCGUGGUUCGCAUCGCCGGGGGCGACGACGGCGCCGCUGCGAAGAAGACCAUCGGCGACGUCGGUGCCGCUGGAGGUGAAGAGCGCCAGACCAAGAAAAUCGAGCUCUGAAUCCUGAACUCUGCACUGCGCGGAGUGCCAAUGUUCUUGCCACUUUCCAGUACGCGCUUGUCAGUUCCGCUUCUCAGUACAGCGUGUAGAAAAAUGUGAUGUACUACUAUUUUUGAAUGUAAAAGCGACACUGAGUGGUCGAUCACUGUCGCAUGUAAGAGAAGUUCACCGAGGAAAUAAAAACCACAGAUCACUUUGUUUUGCCCGUGUUGAGAACAUUCACACUUAAUUGAUUGAUUUUUCU